Molecule: ribosomal RNA, 497 nt
Filed under: uncultured bacterium
Lineage: Bacteria
Description: bacterial SSU rRNA
Rfam family: Bacterial small subunit ribosomal RNA
Source: RNAcentral
ACGCGAAAGUCCCCUUCGGGGGACAAGUAGAGUGGCGCACGGGUGAGUAACACGUAGGUAAUCUACCUUCGGAUGGGGAAUAACAACCGGAAACGGUUGCUAAUACCGCAUAAUGCAGCGGCACCUAAUGGUGACAGUUGUUAAAGCGGGGGAUCGAAAGACCUCGCGUCUGAAGAGGAGCCUGCGGCGGAUUAGCUAGUUGGUAGGGUAACGGCCUACCAAGGCGACGAUCCGUAGCCGGCCUGAGAGGGCGGUCGGCCACACUGACACUGACAUACGGGUCAGACUCCUACGGGAGGCAGCAGUCGGGAAUUUUGGGCAUGGGCGAAAGCCUGACCCAGCAACGCCGCGUGAAGGAUGAAAUCCCUCGGGAUGUAAACUUCGCAAGAACGGGAAGAAUAAGUAGGGGACAAUACCCCCUAUGAUGACGGUACCGUUUGUAAGCUCCGGCUAACUCCGUGCCAGCAGCCGCGGUAAUACGGGGGGAGCAAGCGUUG